Non-coding RNA from Catenulispora sp. 13_1_20CM_3_70_7, 138 nucleotides. Lineage: Bacteria; Bacillati; Actinomycetota; Actinomycetes; Catenulisporales; Catenulisporaceae. The record is from Rfam.
ACGCGUGCUCCGGGGUCGGUGAAAUUCCGAACCGGCGGUGACAGUCCGCGAACCGCUUGUUCGCCUCGGCGAACGGGCGGCCGAUCCGGUGGAAUUCCGGGACCGACGGUUAAAGUCCGGAUGGGAGGCUGCACGCGA